This 468-nucleotide ribosomal RNA is filed under the name uncultured bacterium. RNAcentral's name for it is "partial 16S ribosomal RNA". It matches the Rfam family "Bacterial small subunit ribosomal RNA", at positions 28 to 523 of the family's 1533-position model. The record is from RNAcentral.
GAUGAACGCUGGCGGCGUGCCUAACACAUGCAAGUCGAGCGAUUCUCUUCGGAGAAGAGCGGCGGACGGGUGAGUAACGCGUAGGUAACCUGCCCUGUACACACGGAUAACAUACCGAAAGGUAUGCUAAUACGAGAUAAUAUGCUUUUGUCGCAUGGUAGAAGUAUCAAAGCUUUUGCGGUACAGGAUGGAUCCGCGUCUGAUUAGCUAGUUGGUAAGGUAACGGCUUACCAAGGCGACGAUCAGUAGCCGACCUGAGAGGGUGAUCGGCCACAUUGGAACUGAGACACGGUCCAAACUCCUACGGGAGGCAGCGGUGGGGAAUAUUGCACAAUGGGCGAAAGCCUGAUGCAGCAACGCCGCGUGAGCGAUGAAGGCCUUCGGGUCGUAAAGCUCUGUCCUCAAGGAAGAUAAUGACGGUACUUGAGGAGGAAGCCCCGGCUAACUACGUGCCAGCCGCCGCCGUAA